UGCAAGUCGAGCGGACAGAUGGGAGCUUGCUCCCUGAUGUUAGCGGCGGACGGGUGAGUAACACGUGGGUAACCUGCCUGUAAGACUGGGAUAACUCCGGGAAACCGGGGCUAAUACCGGAUGGUUGUUUGAACCGCAUGGUUCAGACAUAAAAGGUGGCUUCGGCUACCACUUACAGAUGGACCCGCGGCGCAUUAGCUAGUUGGUGAGGUAACGGCUCACCAAGGCGACGAUGCGUAGCCGACCUGAGAGGGUGAUCGGCCACACUGGGACUGAGACACGGCCCAGACUCCUACGGGAGGCAGCAGUAGGGAAUCUUCCGCAAUGGACGAAAGUCUGACGGAGCAACGCCGCGUGAGUGAUGAAGGUUUUCGGAUCGUAAAGCUCUGUUGUUAGGGAAGAACAAGUGCCGUUCAAAUAGGGCGGCACCUUGACGGUACCUAACCAGAAAGCCACGGCUAACUACGUGCCAGCAGCCGCGGUAAUACGUAGGUGGCAAGCGUUGUCCGGAAUUAUUGGGCGUAAAGGGCUCGCAGGCGGUUUCUUAAGUCUGAUGUGAAAGCCCCCGGCUCAACCGGGGAGGGUCAUUGGAAACUGGGGAACUUGAGUGCAGAAGAGGAGAGUGGAAUUCCACGUGUAGCGGUGAAAUGCGUAGAGAUGUGGAGGAACACCAGUGGCGAACGCGACUCUCUGGUCUGUAACUGACGCUGAGGAGCGAAAGCGUGGGG
This 728-nucleotide ribosomal RNA is filed under the name Bacillus siamensis. RNAcentral describes it as "bacterial SSU rRNA". It matches the Rfam family "Bacterial small subunit ribosomal RNA", at positions 56 to 766 of the family's 1533-position model. The record is from RNAcentral. Lineage: Bacteria; Bacillati; Bacillota; Bacilli; Caryophanales; Bacillaceae.